Molecule: long non-coding RNA, 1109 nt
Organism: Clupea harengus (Atlantic herring)
Lineage: Eukaryota; Metazoa; Chordata; Actinopteri; Clupeiformes; Clupeidae
Source: Ensembl
GACUGAUGGAGGAGGUGGAGAGGGAGGUGACUGAUGGAGGAGGUGGAGAGGGAGGUGACUGAUGGAGGAGGUGGAGAGGGAGGUGACUGAUGGAGGAGGUGGAGAGGGAGGUGACUGGAGGAGGUGGAGAGGGAGGUGACUGAUGGCAUAGGAGGAGAGAGGGAGGUGACUGAUGGGAUAGGAGGAGAGAGGGAGGUGACUGAUGGAGGAGGUGGAGAGGGAGGUGACUGAUGGAGGAGGAGAGAGGGAGGUGACUGAUGGAGGAGGUGGAGAGGGAGGUGACUGAUGGCAUAGGAGGAGAGAGGGAGGUGACUGAUGGAGGAGGUGGAGAGGGAGGUGACUGAUGGAGGAGGAGAGAGGGAGGUGACUGAUGGAGGAGGUGGAGAGGGAGGUGACUGAUGGAGGAGGAGAGAGGGAGGUGACUGAUGGAGGAGGUGGAGAGGGAGGUGACUGAUGGCAUAGGAGGAGAGAGGGAGGUGACUGAUGGGAUAGGAGGAGAGAGGGAGGUGACAGAGGGAUGCUUUGAUUUAUUUUGAUUUAUAGAUGUUUAUUAUUUAUUUUUCUAUUUAAUUUUAAUAUUGCAGUGUGCUAAAAGGGAGCGGGCAAGACAAUGCUGUUCAAUAUUAGAUGUUCAUGACUUUUUGAUAUUUUGAGUAAGUUAAACUCAAUGUAAUUGAGGUAAUCAAUUGCCUCAAAAAUUUUAAGUUUCGAGUCACAUCUUAUUAAGUAAACAACUUCAACAUAUUUGACUACUGUGUACUUAAAACAAUGACAACACAAACUAAUAAACUUUGAGUUGUGUUAACAUAAAAUGGUGUGGUUGUGUACUUAUUCUUUUAAGUUCUGUGAACUUAUUCCAGUGGUUUCAAAACUGGAAAUUUUAAGUCUUAAUAACUGAAAAUAAUUGAGUUGCCUUAACAGAAAACUGUAAGUCAUAUUGACUGCAAAUAUUUGAGUUGAGCUAAAUGAGCACUUUAAUUUAACUGUUAUCAAAAGGUACAAGUAGCAAGUAAUCCAACCUUUUAAGUUCUGGAAAAUUUUGACUUUUAAGUUAAUCAACUUAAAAAAAUUGAGGCAAUUUAUUACGUCAAAUUUUUUGAGUUCUGGUA